AUUGAACGCUGGCGGCAGGCCUAACACAUGCAAGUCGAGCGGAUGAAGGGAGCUUGCUCCUGGAUUCAGCGGCGGACGGGUGAGUAAUGCCUAGGAAUCUGCCUGGUAGUGGGGGAUAACGUCCGGAAACGGGCGCUAAUACCGCAUACGUCCUGAGGGAGAAAGUGGGGGAUCUUCGGACCUCACGCUAUCAGAUGAGCCUAGGUCGGAUUAGCUAGUUGGUGGGGUAAAGGCCUACCAAGGCGACGAUCCGUGACUGGUCUGAGAGGAUGAUCAGUCACACUGGAACUGAGACACGGUCCAGACUCCUACGGGAGGCAGCAGUGGGGAAUAUUGGACAAUGGGCGGAAGCCUGAUCCAGCCAUGCCGCGUGUGUGAAGAAGGUCUUCGGAUUGUAAAGCACUUUAAGUUGGGAGGAAGGGCAGUAAGUUAAUACCUUGCUGUUUUGACGUUACCAACAGAAUAAGCACCGGCUAACUUCGUG
RNAcentral lists this ribosomal RNA (484 nucleotides) under uncultured bacterium. RNAcentral describes it as "partial 16S ribosomal RNA". It matches the Rfam family "Bacterial small subunit ribosomal RNA", at positions 30 to 507 of the family's 1533-position model. The record is from RNAcentral.